This 484-nucleotide ribosomal RNA is filed under the name uncultured bacterium. Its description in RNAcentral is "partial 16S ribosomal RNA". It matches the Rfam family "Bacterial small subunit ribosomal RNA", at positions 30 to 507 of the family's 1533-position model. The record is from RNAcentral.
AUUGAACGCUGGCGGCAGGCCUAACACAUGCAAGUCGAGCGGCUGCAGCGUGCUUGCUUCUUCUUUCAGCUGCCGACUGGUGUAUACUGCCUAUGUAUCUCCCUGCUUGUUUUUUAUUACGUCCUGAAACGGGCUCUUAUACCCCAUUCGUCCUUACGGCGUACGUGUGGGAUCUUCGGAUCUCUCGCUCUUAGAUGAGCCUAUGUCGGAUUAGCUAGUUGGUGUGGUAAAGGCCUACCAAGGCUACUAUCCGUAACUGGUCUGAGAGGAUGAUCAGUCACACUGGAACAGAGAAACGAUCCAGACACCUACGGGAGGCAGCAGUGGGGAAUAUUGGACAAUGGGCGAAAGCCUGAUACAGCAAAGCCGCGUGAGUGAAGAAGGACUACGGAUUGUAAAGCAAUUUAAGUAGGAAGGAAGAGAAGGAAGUUAAUACCGGGCUGUUAUGACGGUACCAACAGAAUAAGCACCGGCUAACUUCGUG